UACGGAGGGUGCGAGCGUUAAUCGGAAUUACUGGGCGUAAAGCGCGCGUAGACGGUUAUGUAAGUCAGAUGUGAAAGCCCCGGGCUCAACCUGGGAAUUGCAUUUGAGACUGUGUAGCUAGGGUGCGGAAGAGGGAAGCGGAAUUUCCGGUGUAGCGGUGAAAUGCGUAGAUAUCGGAAGGAACACCAGUGGCGAAAGCGGCUUCCUGGUCCAGCACCGACGUUCAGGCACGAAAGCGUGGGGAGCAAACAGG
This 253-nucleotide ribosomal RNA is filed under the name uncultured bacterium. RNAcentral's name for it is "partial 16S ribosomal RNA". It matches the Rfam family "Bacterial small subunit ribosomal RNA", at positions 524 to 776 of the family's 1533-position model. The record is from RNAcentral.